AAGAAAAAAAAACCUUCUCCCCCGCCUCCCCCCGGCGCUUGCCCAGCCCGCCGCGGUGGCCCCCUGCCCCUCGCCCCGCAGCUACCGAGCUCCGUCCCUCCUUCCCAGGACGUUACCCCGAAGGCACCGUUGGGGGGAGCCGUGCGGUUUCCGACUUUCGCAACGAAUCGGCCGCUGAGCGAAACGCGGCCCGAAGCCGCCUCCGCGGCCCCGCUCCCCUCGCCGCCCGCAGCCACCGGCGCCGGCCAGGCCCUCCCGCUGCCCCCCCGGCUGUACGCUCCCGGAGCGGGCGGGCCUGCGGGCGGGCCUGCUCCCGGAGCAGCCGCCGCCGCCCCGGCCUGUCGAUAUGAAUUACUCCCGGUUCAUCACCACUGUGAGUGCAUCAAGAAAAGCAUCACCAAUAAGACUUCUGACUGAAUUGAUGCAGAAGUCUCCUCCAUCUCUCAUCUCUCUGGCUGGAGGAGCACCAAACCCUAAUGUUUUCCCAUUUAAGAGAGCUACUGUUGCCAUUGGACAUGGAACUGCUGUUGAGAUUGGGGAAGAUCUGAUGAAGAGAGCUCUCCAAUACUCAGCCUCUGCAGGCAUUCCAGAGCUGUUGUCUUGGCUAAAGGAUUUCCAGCGGAAUCUACAUAAUCCCCCCACAGCCAACUACAGUCCUGAGCAAGGACAAAUGGAAGUGUGUGUCACAACUGGCAGCCAGGAAGGCUUGUGUAAGGUGUUUGAAAUGCUCAUUAACCCUGGGGACAACAUCCUUUUGGAUGCACCUACAUACUCUGGGACACUAGCAGCUCUGAGACCUUUGGGUUGUAACAUAAUUAAUGUUCCUAGUGACCAACAUGGCAUUAUUCCAAAAGCUCUAAAAGAAAUUCUGUCUACUUGGAGCUCAGAAGACGUGAAAAAUCGGAGCCACCACCUCCCCAAAUUCCUGUACACUAUUCCAAAUGGCUGCAACCCAACUGGAAACUCUCUGACCGCAGAGCGCAAGAAGGAGAUUUACCAGCUUGCAAGAAAAUAUGAUUUCCUCAUAAUAGAAGAUGAUCCUUACUACUUUCUUCAGUUUGAAAAGCCAUGGGUUCCAACUUUCCUCUCAAUGGAUGUGGAUGGCCGAGUUAUCAGGACCGACUCUUUCUCUAAAAUUCUCUCAUCUGGGUUAAGAAUAGGUUUUCUAACAGGUCCCAAGCCUCUUAUCGACAGAGUUAUUCUACACAUUCAGGUUUCAACAAUGCACACCAGCACUUUCACACAGAUUAUGAUAUCACAGCUGCUUCAGCAAUGGGGAGAAAAGGGUUUCUUGGAGCAUAUAGACAGAGUGGUGAAGUUCUACCGGACACAGCGGGAUGCAAUGCUCAUUGCUGCUGACAAGUGGUUAAAAGGUGUUACUGGUUCCUGGAGGAGCAUUCAAUAUCAAUAGUUCAGAGCCUAGCUCUUAUGUCAGAGCCUCCUUCUCUCUGUCUUCUCCAGCCCAGAUGGAUCUGGCCUUCAAGAGACUGGCUGACCUUAUAAAAGAAGCUUUGUGAAAAAGUUAAGUAGAAUUCUUGCAGCAAUCAAAAUCAUCUCCAGAAAAUACUUACUAACAUUGGGAUUUUAUCGUAACACUUUAAAAGCAAGCACAGUACAGUGGAUGUUUCCUUAAAUCGUUUCAGCUAAAAAAGCAAAAAUUGAAAGAGUGAAAAUCAAUUUGCUUAUUUUUUUUGACAUUGCAUUAUUAAAUUUAUAUCAAUUCAGAAACAUUUCAAAUACUCAAAACCGAAAUGCCCUGUUUCCUGUCAAAUGCAUGGUUUUGUUAGAUUUGAAUUGAUUUUUGUUCUUGCUUUUGUUUUCCAUUUGGGUUGGGAAGCAGGGAAGUCAAUUGCUUACUUAGGAAGUUGCACCUGAGUUGGUUUUACCACUAUUACCUAAUCCCAACCGAUACAUUCCUCCCACACCUUACGUUGGAAUUGUUUUUGUCUGUCACUUCUUAUCCCCCUGUACGGCAUCUAGUUUUGAAGGUUUGAAGAUUGGUAUUUAAUUUUACUGAAGUUUUGUCAGAUAAAGCUGAUGUAAGGAUGUUAAAAAAUUGAAACUGAUCCAGCAAAAUGAGGCUACAAUUACAAAUAAAGCUGUUUGGCCUAAGGUGCCUUGCAAUUUGCAUGGGUUCUGCAGCUCAUUCUCUCGUUUGUAAAAGGUUUUCUGAUUGAUGGCUUCCACUUCAGUCGGUGAAUAAUUACCCUGUACCUGUGUUAGAAAAAUCUCUGGUUUGUAAAGGCAUGUGGGUGUGCUAAUAGAAUUGCCCUCUGCUCAUAGUCAAUCAGACAUGUUUUUGAGUGGAGGGUGUAAGUAACUGCACAGGGGAUGUAGUGGAACGGGCAAUACCCUGACGCUGCCAGAUGUACAAAGCAAGCAAAAUGAAAAAAUAAAGAAAUGUUUUGAUCUCUAA
This is an RNA transcript of Tyto alba (common barn owl), 2416 nucleotides long. It is a transcript of the gene named aminoadipate aminotransferase, with no coding region annotated. NCBI's taxonomy places the organism in Eukaryota, Metazoa, Chordata, Aves, Strigiformes, Tytonidae. The transcript has 13 exons. The record is from RefSeq and is a predicted model, not a curated record.